Molecule: ribosomal RNA, 430 nt
Filed under: bacterium
Lineage: Bacteria
Also listed under: 1 other name
Description: bacterial SSU rRNA
Rfam family: Bacterial small subunit ribosomal RNA
Source: RNAcentral
GUGGGGAAUAUUGCACAAUGGGCGCAAGCCUGAUGCAGCCAUGCCGCGUGUAUGAAGAAGGCCUUCGGGUUGUAAAGUACUUUCAGCGGGGAGGAAGGGAGUAAAGUUAAUACCUUUACUCAUUGACGUUACCCGCAGAAGAAGCACCGGCUAACUCCGUGCCAGCAGCCGCGGUAAUACGGAGGGUGCAAGCGUUAAUCGGAAUUACUGGGCGUAAAGCGCACGCAGGCGGUUUGUUAAGUCAGAUGUGAAAUCCCCGGGCUCAACCUGGGAACUGCAUCUGAUACUGGCAAGCUUGAGUCUCGUAGAGGGGGGUAGAAUUCCAGGUGUAGCGGUGAAAUGCGUAGAGAUCUGGAGGAAUACCGGUGGCGAAGGCGGCCCCCUGGACGAAGACUGACGCUCAGGUGCGAAAGCGUGGGGAGCAAACAGG